AUUGAACGCUGGCGGCAGGCCUAACACAUGCAGGUCGAACGGUAACAGGAAGCUGCUUGCUGCUUCGCUGACGAGUGGCGGACGGGUGAGUAAUGUCUGGGAAACUGCCUGAUGGAGGGGGAUAACUACUGGAAACGGUAGCUAAUACCGCAUAACGUCGCAAGACCAAAGAGGCGGACCUUAGGGCCUCUUGCCAUCGGAUGUGCCCAGAUGGGAUUAGCUAGUAGGUGGGGUAACGGCUCACCUAGGCGACGAUCCCUAGCUGGUCGGAGCGGAUGACCAGCCACACUGGAACGGAGACACGGUCCAGACUCCUACGGGAGGCAGCAGAGGGGAAUAUUGCACAAUGGGCGCAAGCCUGAUGCAGCCAUGCCGAGUGUAUGAAGAAGGCCUUCGGGUUGUAAAGGACUUUCAGCGGGGAGGAAGGGAGUAAAGUUAAUACCUUUGCUCAUUGACGUUACCCGCAGAAGAAGCACCGGCUAACUCCGUG
Molecule: ribosomal RNA, 490 nt
Filed under: uncultured bacterium
Lineage: Bacteria
Description: partial 16S ribosomal RNA
Rfam family: Bacterial small subunit ribosomal RNA
Source: RNAcentral